GUCGAGGGGUAGAGUUAGCUUGCUAACUUGAGACCGGCGCACGGGUGCGUAACGCGUAUGCAAUCUACCUUUCACAAAGGGAUAGCCCAGAGAAAUUUGGAUUAAUACCUUAUAGUAUAUAUGAAUGGCAUCAUUUAUAUAUUAAAGAUUUAUCGGUGAAAGAUGAGCAUGCGUCCCAUUAGCUAGUUGGUAAGGUAACGGCUUACCAAGGCAACGAUGGGUAGGGGUCCUGAGGGGAGAUCCCCCACACUGGUACUGAGACACGGACCAGACUCCUACGGGAGGCAGCAGUGAGGAAUAUUGGACAAUGGGCGCAAGCCUGAUCCAGCCAUGCCGCGUGCAGGAUGACGGUCCUAUGGAUUGUAAACUGCUUUUAUACGAGAAGAAACCCUCCGACGUGUCGGAGCUUGACGGUAUCGUAAGAAUAAGGAUCGGCUAACUCCGUGCCAGCAGCCGCGGUAAUACGGAGGAUCCAAGCGUUAUCCGGAAUCAUUGGGUUUAAAGGGUCCGUAGGCGGUCAGAUAAGUCAGUGGUGAAAGCCCAUCGCUCAACGGUGGAACGGCCAUUGAUACUGUCUGACUUGAAUUAUUAGGAAGUAACUAGAAUAUGUAGUGUAGCGGUGAAAUGCUUAGAGAUUACAUGGAAUACCAAUUGCGAAGGCAGGUUACUACUAAUGGAUUGACGCUGAUGGACGAAAGCGUGGGUAGCG
RNAcentral lists this ribosomal RNA (709 nucleotides) under uncultured bacterium. Its description in RNAcentral is "bacterial SSU rRNA". It matches the Rfam family "Bacterial small subunit ribosomal RNA", at positions 61 to 770 of the family's 1533-position model. The record is from RNAcentral.